AGAGUUUGAUCCUGGCUUAGAACGAACGCUGGCGGCGUGGAUUAGGCAUGCAAGUCGAACGGGAUCUCUUGAUUUGAUUCUUUGGAUGAAGAUCUUGAGUGAGAGUGGCGAACGGGUGAGGAACACGUGGGCAACUUGCCCCUAAGUCUGGAAUAGCCCUCCGAAAGGAGGAGUAAUACCGGAUGUGAUAGCCUACCGCAUGGUAGACGCUUUAAAGGUGGGGAUCCUUCGGGACCUGCCGCUUAGGGAUGGGCUCGCGGCCUAUCAGCUUGUUGGUAAGGUAAUGGCUUACCAAGGCUAAGACGGGUAGCUGGUCUGAGAGGAUGAUCAGCCACACUGGGACUGAGACACUGCCCAGACUCCUACGGGAGGCUGCAGUCGAGAAUCAUUCGCAAUGCACGAAAGUGUGACGAUGCGACGCCGCGUGUAGGAUGACGGCCUUCGGGUUGUAAACUACUGUCAUGAGGGAAAAACGAUCAGUACGUGAAUAGCGUAUUGAUGUGAUGGUACCUCAAGAGGAAGCCACGGCUAACUCUGUGCCAGCAGCCGCGGUAAUACAGAGGUGGCAAGCGUUGUUCGGAUUUACUGGGCGUAAAGGGUGCGUAGGCGGUUUUGUAUGUCGGGUGUGAAAUCUCACCGUCCAACGGUGAAACUGCAUCCGAAACUGCAGGACUAGAGUACAGGAGGGGUAAGUGGAAUUCUUAGUGUAGCGGUGAAAUGCGUAGAUAUUAAGAAGAACGCCGGCGGCGAAGGCGACUUACUGGACUGAUACUGACGCUGAGGCACGAAAGCUGGGGGAGCAAAGAGGAUUAGAUACCCUCGUAGUCCCAGCCGUAAACGGUGUGCACUUGGUGUAGGCGGCUUUGUCCCCGUCUGUGCCGGAGCUAACGCGUUAAGUGCACCGCCUGGGGAGUACGGCCGCAAGGCUAAAACUCAAAGGAAUUGACGGGGGCCCGCACAAGCGGUGGAGCAUGUGGCUUAAUUCGAUGCAACGCGAAGAACCUUACCUGGACUUGACAUGGUACUGCACGCCCUGUGAAAGCAGGGUUCCUUUGAGGGUGUAUCACAGGUGCUGCAUGGCUGUCGUCAGCUCGUGCCGUGAGGUGUUGGGUUAAGUCCCGCAACGAGCGCAACCCUUGUGAUUAGUUGCCACUCCCUUUGGGGAAGCACUCUAAUCAGACUGCCUGUGACAAGCAGGAGGAAGGUGGGGAUGACGUCAAGUCAGUAUGGCCCUUAUGUCCAGGGCUGCACACGUGCUACAAUGGGCGGUACAGAACGAAGCAAUACCGCGAGGUGGAGCAAAUCGUAAAAACCGUCCCCAGUUCGGAUUGGAGUCUGCAACUUGACUCCAUGAAGCCGGAAUCGCUAGUAAAGGCGUAUCAGCUACGACGCCUUGAAUACGUUCCCGGGCCUUGUACACACCGCCCGUCACAUCACGGAAGUCGACUGCUCCCGAAGUCGCCGAGCCAACCGCAAGGAGGCAAGCGCCGAAGGAGUGGUUGAUAACUGGGAUGAAGUCGGAACAAGGUA
Molecule: ribosomal RNA, 1530 nt
Filed under: metagenome
Description: bacterial SSU rRNA
Rfam family: Bacterial small subunit ribosomal RNA
Source: RNAcentral